GACGAACGCUGGCGGCGUGCCUAAUACAUGCAAGUCGAACGCUGAAGGAGGAGCUUGCUUCUCUGGAUGAGUUGCGAACGGGUGAGUAACGCGUAGGUAACCUGCCUGGUAGCGGGGGAUAACUAUUGGAAACGAUAGCUAAUACCGCAUAAUAGUAGAUGUUGCAUGACAUUUGCUUAAAAGGUGCAAUUGCAUCACUACCAGAUGGACCUGCGUUGUAUUAGCUAGUUGGUGGGGUAACGGCUCACCAAGGCGACGAUACAUAGCCGACCUGAGAGGGUGAUCGGCCACACUGGGACGGAGACACGGCCCAGACUCCUACGGGAGGCAGCAGUAGGGAAUCUUCGGCAAUGGACGGAAGUCUGACCGAGCAACGCCGCGUGAGUGAAGAAGGGUGUCGGAUCGUAAAGCUCUGUUGUAAGAGAAGAACGAGUGUGAGAGUGGAAAGUUCACACUGUGACGGUAUCUUACCAGAAAGGGACGGCUAACUACGUG
This 495-nucleotide ribosomal RNA is filed under the name uncultured bacterium. RNAcentral's name for it is "partial 16S ribosomal RNA". It matches the Rfam family "Bacterial small subunit ribosomal RNA", at positions 28 to 507 of the family's 1533-position model. The record is from RNAcentral.